UCUCACUGGACCUCAGUGUGAGAACAGAGGCCUCCAGUGCAUACAUGAAUAUUCAUUAGCUGAUCUGAACCAAGUAAGAGAGAUGAUUACAUAACAGGAGUACACUGAGAUGAGCACCUGAGGACAGACUGAAAUGGAAGAAAACAGACAUGACUGAUACUGAUACUGAAGAAUCUAAAGUAACAGCAGGACAAUCCCCAGUAUUUGAAAAACAGCUCAUCUCAUUCCACUACAUAAAGGAAGAGAAGCAUCAGGCCAGUCACUCUCUGAUCUAAGGAGGGAGUCAAACCAGCCCUGAUCCAAUUAGAGAGAGAAGCAUCAGGAGGGACAGAACGUGUCUGCUGCUGAAGCCACAAAGCAGG
This is a long non-coding RNA of Pygocentrus nattereri (red-bellied piranha), 362 nucleotides long. RefSeq lists it as uncharacterized. The record is from RefSeq and is a predicted model, not a curated record. The transcript has 3 exons. NCBI's taxonomy places the organism in Eukaryota, Metazoa, Chordata, Actinopteri, Characiformes, Serrasalmidae.